This 443-nucleotide ribosomal RNA is filed under the name uncultured bacterium. RNAcentral's name for it is "partial 16S ribosomal RNA". It matches the Rfam family "Bacterial small subunit ribosomal RNA", at positions 338 to 795 of the family's 1533-position model. The record is from RNAcentral.
CCUACGGGUGGCUGCAGUGAGGAAUAUUGGUCAAUGGGCGAGAGCCUGAACCAGCCAAGUCGCGUGCGGGAGUACUGCCCUAUGGGUUGUAAACUUCUUUUAAGGGGGAAGAGCAGAAGACGGUACCCCUUGACUAAGCCACGGCUAACUACGUGCAAGCAGCCGCGGUAAUACGUAGGUGGCAAGCGUUGUCCGGAUUUACUGGGUGUAAAGGGCGUGCAGCCGGAGAGACAAGUCAGAUGUGAACUCCACGGGCUCAACCCGUGAACUGCAUUUGAAACUGUUUCCCUUGAGUGUCGGAGAGGUAAUCGGAAUUCCUUGUGUAGCGGUGAAAUGCGUAGAUAUAAGGAAGAACACCAGUGGCGAAGGCGGAUUACUGGACGAUAACUGACGGUGAGGCGCGAAAGCGUGGGGAGCAAACAGGAUUAGAUACCCCUGUAGUC